AGAUUGAACGCUGGCGGCAGGCCUAACACAUGCAAGUCGAGCGGUAGAGAGGUGCUUGCAUCUCUUGAGAGCGGCGGACGGGUGAGUAAUGCCUAGGAAUCUGCCUAGUGGUGGGGGAUAACGUUCGGAAACGGACGCUAAUACCGCAUACGGUCCUACGGGAGAAAGCGGGGGACCUUCGGGCCUCGCGCCAUUAGAUGAGCCUAGGUCGAUUAGCUAGUUGGUGAGGUAAUGGCU
Molecule: ribosomal RNA, 237 nt
Filed under: uncultured soil bacterium
Lineage: Bacteria
Description: partial 16S ribosomal RNA
Rfam family: Bacterial small subunit ribosomal RNA
Source: RNAcentral